Molecule: ribosomal RNA, 253 nt
Filed under: uncultured bacterium
Lineage: Bacteria
Description: partial 16S ribosomal RNA
Rfam family: Bacterial small subunit ribosomal RNA
Source: RNAcentral
UACGGAGGGGGCUAGCGUUGUUCGGAAUUACUGGGCGUAAAGCGCACGUAGGCGGCUUUGUAAGUUAGAGGUGAAAGCCCAGGGCUUAACCCUGGAAUUGCCUUUAAGACUGCAUCGCUAGAAUUGUGGAGAGGUAAGUGGAAUUCCGAGUGUAGAGGUGAAAUUCGUAGAUAUCGAGAGGAACACCUGCGGCGAAGGCGGUUCUCUGGGACGGUACUGACGCUGAGACGCGAAAGCGUGGGGAGCGAACAGG